GACGAACGCUGGCGGCGUGCUUAACACAUGCAAGUCGAACGGAAAGGCCCUGCUUUUGUGGGGUGCUCGAGUGGCGAACGGGUGAGUAACACGUGAGUAACCUGCCCUUGACUUUGGGAUAACUUCAGGAAACUGGGGCUAAUACCGGAUAGGAGCUCCUGCUGCAUGGUGGGGGUUGGAAAGUUUCGGCGGUUGGGGAUGGACUCGCGGCUUAUCAGCUUGUUGGUGGGGUAGUGGCUUACCAAGGCUUUGACGGGUAGCCGGCCUGAGAGGGUGACCGGCCACAUUGGGACUGAGAUACGGCCCAGACUCCUACGGGAGGCAGCAGUGGGGAAUAUUGCACAAUGGGCGGAAGCCUGAUGCAGCAACGCCGCGUGCGGGAUGACGGCCUUCGGGUUGUAAACCGCUUUCGCCUGUGACGAAGCGUGAGUGACGGUAAUGGGUAAAGAAGCACCGGCUAACUACGUGCCAGCAGCCGCGGUGAUACGUAGGGUGCGAGCGUUGUCCGGAUUUAUUGGGCGUAAAGGGCUCGUAGGUGGUUGAUCGCGUCGGAAGUGUAAUCUUGGGGCUUAACCCUGAGCGUGCUUUCGAUACGGGUUGACUUGAGGAAGGUAGGGGAGAAUGGAAUUCCUGGUGGAGCGGUGGAAUGCGCAGAUAUCAGGAGGAACACCAGUGGCGAAGGCGGUUCUCUGGGCCUUUCCUGACGCUGAGGAGCGAAAGCGUGGGGAGCGAACAGGCUUAGAUACCCUGGUAGUCCACGCUGUAAACGGUGGGUACUAGGUGUGGGGUCCAUUCCACGGGUUCCGUGCCGUAGCUAACGCUUUAAGUACCCCGCCUGGGGAGUACGGCCGCAAGGCCAAAACUCAAAGGAAUUGACGGGGCCCCGCACAAGCGGCGGAGCAUGCGGAUUAAUUCGAUGCAACGCGUAGAACCUUACCUGGGUUUGACAUGGAUCGGGAGUGCUCAGAGAUGGGUGUGCCUCUUUUGGGGUCGGUUCACAGGUGGUGCAUGGCUGUCGUCAGCUCGUGUCGUGAGAUGUUGGGUUAAGUCCCGCAACGAGCGCAACCCUUGUUCACUGUUGCCGGCACGUUAUGGUGGGGACUCAGUGGAGACCGCCGGGGUCAACUCGGAGGAAGGUGGGGAUGACGUCAAGUCAUCAUGCCCCUUAUGUCCAGGGCUUCACGCAUGCUACAAUGGCUGGUACAGAGAGUGGCGAGCCUGUGAGGGUGAGCGAAUCUCGGAAAGCCGGUCUCAGUUCGGAUUGGGGUCUGCAACUCGACCUCAUGAAGUCGGAGUCGCUAGUAAUCGCAGAUCAGCAACGCUGCGGUGAAUACGUUCCCGGG
Molecule: ribosomal RNA, 1343 nt
Filed under: uncultured bacterium
Lineage: Bacteria
Description: 16S ribosomal RNA
Rfam family: Bacterial small subunit ribosomal RNA
Source: RNAcentral